This 221-nucleotide ribosomal RNA is filed under the name uncultured Pseudomonas sp. Its description in RNAcentral is "partial 16S ribosomal RNA". It matches the Rfam family "Bacterial small subunit ribosomal RNA", at positions 132 to 354 of the family's 1533-position model. Lineage: Bacteria; Pseudomonadati; Pseudomonadota; Gammaproteobacteria; Pseudomonadales; Pseudomonadaceae. The record is from RNAcentral.
GGUAGUGGGGGACGAACGUUUCGAAAGGAACGCUAAUACCGCAUACGUCCUACGGGAGAAAGCAGGGACCUUCGGGCCUUGCGCUAUCAGAUGAGCCUAGGUCGGAUUAGCUAGUUGGUGAGGUAAUGGCUCACCAAGGCGACGAUCCGUAACUGGUCUGAGAGGAUGAUCAGUCACACUGGAACUGAGACACGGUCCAGACUCCUACGGGAGGCAGCAGA